UGUUAUAACUAUGAGUGCCGAUAUAGCGU
RNAcentral lists this small RNA (29 nucleotides) under Bombyx mori (domestic silkworm). RNAcentral describes it as "ovarian small RNA-36036". Lineage: Eukaryota; Metazoa; Arthropoda; Insecta; Lepidoptera; Bombycidae. The record is from RNAcentral.